Molecule: ribosomal RNA, 447 nt
Filed under: uncultured bacterium
Lineage: Bacteria
Description: partial 16S ribosomal RNA
Rfam family: Bacterial small subunit ribosomal RNA
Source: RNAcentral
AACGAACGCUGGCGGCAGGCUUAACACAUGCAAGUCGAGCGCCCCGCAAGGGGAGCGGCAGACGGGUGAGUAACGCGUGGGAAUCUACCUUUUGCUACGGAAUAACUCAGGGAAACUUGUGCUAAUACCGUAUGUGCCCUUCGGGGGAAAGAUUUAUCGGCAAAGGAUGAGCCCGCGUUGGAUUAGCUAGUUGGUAGGGUAAUGGCCUACCAAGGCGACGAUCCAUAGCUGGUCUGAGAGGAUGAUCAGCCACACUGGGACUGAGACACGGCCCAGACUCCUACGGGAGGCAGCAGUGGGGAAUAUUGGACAAUGGGCGCAAGCCUGAUCCAGCCAUGCCGCGUGAGUGAUGAAGGCCCUAGGGUUGUAAAGCUCUUUCACCGGUGAAGAUAAUGACGGUAACCGGAGAAGAAGCCCCGGCUAACUUCGUGCCAGCCGCCGCAGUAA